AAAUUGGGUAUCUGAAUGACAGAGU
This 25-nucleotide non-coding RNA is filed under the name Cricetulus griseus (Chinese hamster). Lineage: Eukaryota; Metazoa; Chordata; Mammalia; Rodentia; Cricetidae. The record is from RNAcentral.